CGACAAUCGUCCCAUCAAAGGGAGCUGCUGUUAUGGAUUUCUCACUGCUCUGCACUACCAAAAAACUACAGGAGUUUUUAGGCAUGUAGAUCACCUUAAACUGGCCCACCAAGACUUGGAGUAUUCUGCUGGUGUCACAACAUGACCAUGAGUAUGUCAACGCACCGCUGGACGAGCCAGCGACACUCGUGGUUCCUCCACUCAUGAAACACAAUUCCCAAGCCGGGUGGAUCAUCCGAACUCCAGAUGGUAUAGCCUCCACAAAGCCCUGAUCUCAUCAUCGAGGCUGUCUGGGAUUACCUGGAGAAGCAGAUGCAAGCGAGACAGCCAAAGUCCGCAGAACUGUGGCAGGCAAGUUCUCCAAGAUACUUGGAACAACCUACCAACCAAUUUUCUUAUAAAAACUGCACAACACUGUACCUAAGAGUAUUAAUGCAAUUUUAAAGGAAAAGGGUGAUUGCAAUAAAUAUCAAUUUGAUUUAGUUUUAUUGCUGUUUACUGCUUUUUAUAGUAAUUAUUUUGAUAUUUAGAAACUUUACAUUUCAUUAUUCUGAAAGCACCUUUGCUUUACAGAAUUGUUUUACAUCUGCCUAAAACUUUUCUAUCACUAUACAUAAGACAAUUCAAUGUGAGUCAAUCAACUCAAUGGGAAAGUAUCAAAUGACUGAAAACAAACUUGACCCAGUCAACAAAUACUUGGUUCCCUACAGUUACAGUCACCCUUGCUAUUAUGAAAUCACAUAUGACUCUGGUACACAUAUCCAAAGUACAAUUUAUAUUGGAUAUGAAUGUAGGAGAUCUGAUUAGUAAAUUUGUGGAAUACAUGAACUUGAUUGGUGUUGUAGAUAUCAAAGAUGAUUUUCUAAGGCUACGGCAAGAUAUAAAUCAAAUUAAAAAUUGGGUAGAACAUUGGCAGAUGCAAUGUAAUCUCAGCAAGUGAGAAAGUCAAAUGGUAGGGCAGUAACGGAUGUUAAUAAACAAGAGACUUUUUUGGGUCCAAGCCACAGAGGUUGAGGUUGCUGAAAAAGGCAUAUGGUAUGAUUACUUUCAGAGGUAGAGGCAUAGAAUACAAGAGUAAAAACAUUCUUUUCAACUUUACAAACACCAGCUAGAUCACAUUUGGACUGCUGUGCCAUUCCAGUCACAUUAUAGGAUGGAUGUGAUUGCACUGGAGACAGUGCAAAGGAGAUUCACCAAAAUCCUGUCUGGAAAGGAGGACUUUAUUGGAAAAGACUGGGCUUGUUUUCCUGCAGUAAAGCAGGUUGAGAGGUUACCUGGUGCACUUAAAAUUAUCAGAGAGAUAUAUAUAUACACCAUCUAAAUCUUUCCCCCCAUGGUUGGUGGAUGAAAAUCAAAAGGGCAUAGGUUUAAGAUAUGAGGAACUUGUCCCAAAGGGAAUACUUUGUCUUUGUUUACUAUUUAUUGUAAUGCUAGCACUGUUUUUGUGCACUUUAUGAGGUCCUGUGUAGGUCUGUAGUCUAAUGUAGCUCUCCCUGUGUUGUUUUUUUUUAACGUAGUUCAGUCUAGUUUUUGAUUUGUGUCAUGUAACACCAUGGUCCUGAAAAACGUUGUCUCAUUUUUACUAUGCACUGUACCAGCAGUUAUGGUCGAAAUGACAAAAAAAGUGACUUGACUUGAUACGAGGGGUAAAUUUGUUUUCUUUUUACAAAGGGAGUGGUUGAUAUCUGGAAUACUCUAGCAAAGUGGUCAUGGCAGUGGAAUCAGAUACAUUUAAACACCUGAGAUGUUUAGACAUACACUUAAAUAAACAGACAUGACUGGAUAUGGCUCUAAAGUAGACAAAUAGGAUUAGAGAACAUGGACAAAAGACAGGCAUGAUGUGUCAGGCUGAAGGGCUCAAUUUCCUGUUACAUGACCCUUUGUCCACUGCCAGGAGCAAGCCUACAAAAAACUUUGUAUAUGUAUACUCUACCCAUUCUGAUCUGCAAUGUUGCUUCCUGCAGUAACAAUACUUCAUUACAUCUAAAUUUCACAAUGGAAUUCCUUAUGUAAAAUAUUAAUUUAAAAAAUUCCAGUGUAACCAUUGUUUUGUUUGGAGAAGCAAGUUAUUUAAAUAUGUUUUACGAAUGCCAAUAUUUCCCCUCAAUUUUGCUUUCUACUUUACAAUAGAAUAUCUAAGUUACAUUUAACUAUCACUUUUUCUUAACAAAAGGGAAUAAAUUUAUUCAAUGAAUUGAUUUUUAAUGGUUUAAUUCAAAAUAACUCUGGCAAGACUCAGAGGCAGAGGGUUGGAUUGGUACUAAAUACUUUUUACACUUUGAUAAAUAAUUUGAAUGUUUAGUCCAAACAGCGUAAUUUGUUUUGUGUCCUAUUUUCCAGAAUGAUUUUAUACUGCUUAGUGCACAUCAUUGCUAUUUUCUUCCAAGUGCUUUUAACACAAAUAAAUACUUGAACAUUUUUAUUUGGUAUUGUUUCCAUGUGACUGCAACUGUUGUCUUUGGUGUUAGAGGCUGCAGGUUUGAAAGUCACUGGGUAGUAUAGAUGUGCAAGUGCAUUGCAUUUAGGUGAUAAUAUACAUUGUCAGAGGAUACAAGUGUUUGAGCUAUGUAAGAGGUACCAGCUGGCUGCUUUGUUGUGGAUGACGCCAAGCUUCUUGAAUGCUCAUCCAGUCAAUUAGAAAAUGUUUCAACGCACAUCAGACGUGCAUCUUGUAAUGAUGGAAAAGACUUGGGAGAUUCAGAAGGUGACUUUCCCACCAGAUACCUAUUCUCUAACUUGUUCUUGCAAACACAGUAUUUGGGCAACAGUGAUGAAUUCAGUGACAUUGAAGGUAGGGAGUGAAGUAGUUUUACUAUUAAGUGUUAAGGAUGGAUGGUUAGACACUUCCUUUUGAAGAUGUGCAGAGGAUAUGGCGAGUCUACAGACAGAUUUAGAUAGUUCAGUGAGUGGGCAAGUCUGGCAGAUGGAAAAUGUCAUUCACUUUUGAAGGAAAAAUGGAAGAGCAGACUUAUCCAAAUGGUAACAGAUUGCAGCAUGCUGCAGUGCAGAAGGACUUGGGAGUGCUUGUGCAUUAAUUGCAAAAAGUUGAUUUUCAGGUGCAGCAGGCUAUCAAGAAGGCAAAUGGAAUGUUGGCCUUCUUCGCUAGAGAGAUUGAAUUUAAGAGCAGGAAGGCUAUGCUGCAAUUGUAUGGGGUAUUGGUGAGACCGCAUCUGGAGUACUGCAUGCAGUUCUGGUCUCCUUACUUGAGGAUGGAUAUACUGGCUUUGGAGGCAGUGCAGGAGGUUCACCAGGUUGAUUCCAGAAUGAAGGGGUUAAGACUACCAGGAGAGAUUGACUCGCCUGAGACUGUACUUGCUGGAAUUCAGAAGAAUAAGAGGAGAUCUUGUAGAAGCAUAUACAAUUAUGAAAGGGACAGAUAAGAUAGAGGCAGGAAAGUUGUUUCCACUGGAGGGUGAGACUAGAACUAGGGAACAUAGCCUCAAGAUUUGGGAGAGUUAAUUGCUAUCUUGAUGUCAAAGGAAGUCAUUCUCACCUCACCUCUGGAAAUUAGUUACUUCGGUCAUCUUUACCACAAUUUAUGGGAAAACUGCUUGUUAACUAAAUUCAUUUCAGUCAGCUGGUCUCUCUCUAAAAUAGAUUUAAUAGAAAAGCAAUUUUAUUUAAUCUCUUCACAUUUUUCCCCUCAAACCACUUUUAAAUAACAAAAAAAAACAGUAUAUAGAAGGUCUGAGGGGUGAUUAUUAUAGGUCACUCAAAAUCACUCAUCAUCAAUUUCAGGUCUUUGUAUGAUAAACAGAGUUCAGAAAUUAUAAAAUGCACACCUAAACACUAAUGGCCGAAGAAAAAAUACCUAUUGUUGAUUAGAUGAUACUUUCCGAUUCUAUUUUGUAAACCAAGGUGCAUGGACACUUUAUCACAAGCAGGAUACAGUAUCCAGUUUUUA
This is a long non-coding RNA of Hypanus sabinus (Atlantic stingray), 3904 nucleotides long. RefSeq lists it as uncharacterized. NCBI's taxonomy places the organism in Eukaryota, Metazoa, Chordata, Chondrichthyes, Myliobatiformes, Dasyatidae. The transcript has 3 exons. The record is from RefSeq and is a predicted model, not a curated record.